AGUGAACGCUGGCGGUAGACCUAACACAUGCAAGUCGAACGGCAGCACAGUAAGAGCUUGCUCUUACGGGUGGCGAGUGGCGGACGGGUGAGGAAUACAUCGGAAUCUACUUUUUCGUGGGGGAUAACGUAGGGAAACUUACGCUAAUACCGCAUACGACCUACGGGUGAAAGCAGGGGAUCCUCGGACCUUGCGCGAUUGAAUGAGCCGAUGUCGGAUUAGCUAGUUGGCGGGGUAAAGGCCCACCAAGGCGACGAUCCGUAGCUGGUCUGAGAGGAUGAUCAGCCACACUGGAACUGAGACACGGUCCAGACUCCUACGGGAGGCAGCAGUGGGGAAUAUUGGACAAUGGGCGCAAGCCUGAUCCAGCCAUACCGCGUGGGUGAAGAGGGUCUUCGGGUUGUAAAGCCCUUUUGUUGGGAAAGAAAAGCAGCAGGUUAAUACCCCGCUGUUCUGACGGUACCCAAAGAAUAAGCACCGGCUAACUUCGUG
This 492-nucleotide ribosomal RNA is filed under the name uncultured bacterium. Its description in RNAcentral is "partial 16S ribosomal RNA". It matches the Rfam family "Bacterial small subunit ribosomal RNA", at positions 29 to 507 of the family's 1533-position model. The record is from RNAcentral.